GAUGAAGAACGCAGCGAAAUGCGAUAAGUAGUGUGAAUUGCAGAAUUCAGUGAAUCAUCGAAUCUUUGAACGCACAUUGCGCCCCUUGGUACUCCAUGGGGCAUGCCUGUUCGAGCGUCAUUUACACCCUCAAGCUCUGCUUGGUGUUGGGCGUCUGUCCCGCUUCGUGCGCGGACUCGCCUCAAAUGCAUUGGCAGCGGUCUUGCCAGCUUCUCGCGCAGCACAUUGCGCUUCUAGAGGCUUUGGCGGAUCGGCGUCCAUCAAGUACACCCACAGUUUGACCUCGGAUCAGGUAGGGAUACCCGCUGAACUUAAGCAUAUCAAUAAGCGGAGGA
This 335-nucleotide unclassified non-coding RNA is filed under the name soil metagenome. RNAcentral describes it as "partial contains 5.8S ribosomal RNA, internal transcribed spacer 2, and large subunit ribosomal RNA". The stretch from base 1 to 120 matches the Rfam family "5.8S ribosomal RNA", at positions 35 to 154 of the family's 154-position model. The record is from RNAcentral.